Molecule: ribosomal RNA, 501 nt
Filed under: uncultured bacterium
Lineage: Bacteria
Description: partial 16S ribosomal RNA
Rfam family: Bacterial small subunit ribosomal RNA
Source: RNAcentral
ACUCAAAUGAAUUGACGGGGGCUCACACAAGCGGUGGAGCAUGUGGUUCAAUUCGAAGCAACGCGAAGAACCUUACCAGGCCUAGACAUCAGGAUGUAACCGGCAGAAACGUCGGCCAACUCGCAAGAGAAAUCCUGUGCAGGUGUUGCAUGGCUGUCGUCAGCUCGUGUCGUGAGAUGUCGGGUUAAGUCCCAUAACGAGCGAAACCCCUGCCGUUAGUUGCUAACAGGUCAUGCUGAGCACUCUAGCGGGACUGCCUCGUAAGACGGAGGAAGGUGGGGACGACGUCAAGUCAUCAUGGCCCUUACGGCCUGGGCUACACACGUGCUACAAUGGGUGGUACAAAGAGAUCCGAAACGGCGACGUCAAGGAAAUCCCAGAAAGCCACCCCCAGUACGGAUUGAAGGCUGCAACUCGCCUUCAUGAAGCCGGAAUCGCUAGUAAUCGCGGGUCAGCCAUACCGCGGUGAAUAUGUUCCUGAGCCUUGUACACACCGCCCGU